RNAcentral lists this small nucleolar RNA (107 nucleotides) under Theobroma cacao (cacao). Its description in RNAcentral is "Plant small nucleolar RNA R71". It matches the Rfam family "Plant small nucleolar RNA R71". From Rfam's summary of the family: R71 is a member of the C/D box family of snoRNAs containing the C (UGAUGA) and D (CUGA) box motifs. Multiple nearly identical copies of this snoRNA have been identified in Arabidopsis, and it is thought to function as a 2'-O-ribose methylation guide for 18S ribosomal RNA. Lineage: Eukaryota; Viridiplantae; Streptophyta; Magnoliopsida; Malvales; Malvaceae. The record is from Rfam by way of RNAcentral.
AGACCAUGAUGAGGACAACGCCUGAGCAAGUCCUUGUAUCUUUCCUAGGCCUCAUACAACGAUUCAAAAUCUAGCUGCAUAAAUGCUAUGAUAUCAUUCCUUAUUUU